Molecule: long non-coding RNA, 510 nt
Organism: Anneissia japonica
Lineage: Eukaryota; Metazoa; Echinodermata; Crinoidea; Comatulida; Comatulidae
Exons: 4
Source: RefSeq, a predicted model, not a curated record
CCGCUGCGUGAGAAGAUAUUUGGUUUUCAUAGAAGGAACAUGUUCUGUUUUAGUUUUUAAACAUCUUGUUAUUUCCGUUACGUGUUGUAAGGAAGAUAAGCAUUUUGUUCAAGUAGUCUUCAUGAUUUGAUUCAGGGAAUUUUAUGCAUGCAGAAUAACAGUGAUGGAAAGAUUAAAUAAAUAAAAAGUGGCAACCGACACCGUAGUCUUUCUUCUGUUUGUCUCGUAAUGCUCUCUACUAUCCAUCUUUGAGGAGCCUCACAUGCUCACAUCUGGGGGUGAAGCUACCGAUCAAUACCAGAUUACUCAGCACCACGACAGUACAAUGUGUGAAAGAGGAAACCGAGCCAAUCUCCAAGAGAUUUUUGGCAGCCAGCAAAGUGCCCAAUCACUUUUGAAUGUAGGCAGCAGAAUUAUCUCGCCACAAGAACACGAUUAAAACAGUUAUAAUUAAUUAGGAACUAUUAUUAACUUAAAUAAACAUGGAUAAUCAUAAUCAUAAUUAUGACA